Molecule: long non-coding RNA, 749 nt
Organism: Clupea harengus (Atlantic herring)
Lineage: Eukaryota; Metazoa; Chordata; Actinopteri; Clupeiformes; Clupeidae
Exons: 5
Source: RefSeq, a predicted model, not a curated record
UUAUAUUAAAUCAUAUCUGGUUGAUACACGGCUUCAGUGACCAGUCUUUAUGGGCGAAAACCCUAGUUAAAGUAAAUCUCCAUAGUGACUCAUGUGAUCAUGUUGGUGGAAAUAUAUUUUGUAGUAGGGCCAAGGUUAUGUGACCGCUACAGUGUACUAAAAAAAUACGCUGACAUUAUAUAUACAUUGUUAAGUUAUUUUAAUAACAUUGAGAAAGUCAUGGAUUGUUUUGCAUGUAAGUAAGUCUAAGGGAGGCAAAGACUUUCUGCCUUCAGUCCCAUGUGAAACGACACGGAAGCAGUCUAUUGGUCUACAUUGUAAUUAUGGGGAACGAUAUCCUUGGAGAAUAUUAAUUCGGUUCAGAAUGCCCACGGUAGGUCUUUGACUGGAGUUUGCCUAUGUGUUGUCAUUACGUCACAAAGACUGAUUGCCGUGUCAUAAAUUUGCCAUAGCGCGAGUAUAAAAGGGUCUGGAAUUUGACAUCGAUUCAUAAUUGGAUUUGUGAUUGAGGUGACCACUACAGUGUAUAAAGAUGCUUUGCUGUCCUUGUAUUCCUCUGAGGAAGAGGAAGAAAGUCCAGGCAGAGCCAUGCUUGGAGAGGAGGCCUCGUCACUGGCUGAGGAGAUUAUUUAGAAAAAACAAGACUGGGGAUGCUGGUAUACCUGCGAUCCUGGAGCCAAGCCCUGUGUCAGGGGACGUCCCUCAGAUCUCCAGCACCCUAGCUACCCUUGAGUCCUCCACACUGGUCA